CAGCGACUAACCGCUAGAGCUAUGGCAUGGCCUUAGAAGAGCUGUAGAAAUUCAGAAAAAGUUUUAGUGGGUCCACAUGGUGAGACAUACACAAUACGUCAUAAUGGAAAUCAGGCAAUGAACAUGAAAGCUGAGGAAGUCUCAUAUGCAGAAGGGAAACAAGAUCCUGUGCCAAUAACAUUUCUGGAAAUAAAGGGUGAACCUGAGUGUACCUUGUGUGCUGUUGAGUGAUGGAAGAUGACUGAAGUAAGCAAAGCAUGAGUGCUGCUGGUACUGUGUGGAUACAUUGUGUAGUUUCUGGCCAUGAGAUGAGAUAUUUGGAGGUGGAUAUGCUGGUGGGAAGGGUGGUGUACUUAUUUUCAUGUGGGACUCGAGAUUCUCAUAGCAGCGUAUUAUGUAUUAUGUACUAAAGAGUAUUAUCUUCUGGGAUAUAAAACCAUGCAGUCUUCUGAAUGUCUACUGACGUUUCGGAGAAAAUAUCACCUCAACCUUCAUGGUGACGAAUAAUCCAAGCAAGAAAUCACUGUGUAAGCAGAUGGUAAGCACAGCAAUCAACAAGCCAGAAUUUUUUACUACAUAGGAAACAGGAGGGAAAUGGAAGAGUGCAACUCAGUUCCUGUUGGCUUGCCCAUGGGACAAAAUGAAACCAUCAGUACCCACUGGCUCUCAGACCAACUACCAAAUGAACCAAGUAGAGAAGAGAACAAGAGUUUAGGGUAGCCCAGUAAAGGAACUGUUCUGCUGGUCCAGAAAAAGACAUACUUAUUUUCAGUUUCUGGUAUUAUUCAUUAUAUUGGACAAUGUGUAUUUAUUAUUACAUCAAAUAUUGGAUUAUGUGUGAGAGCAAAUGUAUCAUUCAUUUCUUAUUUUUAUUUGCUAAGGUUAUAUAUGUGAAACCGUUCUAAUGUUUAGUAGUUGACCUUUCUUCUCUAUGUGAAGUACUUCCAAUGUAUUGUUAAUUGUGCUGUAUGUAUGUCCAGUGUCUAUUUUAUAUAUAUUACGCUGAUGAUCUCUGUAGAUUAAACUAAAAUAAACUCCGUACCUUGUGUCCACAA
Molecule: long non-coding RNA, 1055 nt
Organism: Cryptotermes secundus
Lineage: Eukaryota; Metazoa; Arthropoda; Insecta; Blattodea; Kalotermitidae
Exons: 3
Source: RefSeq, a predicted model, not a curated record